RNAcentral lists this ribosomal RNA (226 nucleotides) under uncultured bacterium. RNAcentral's name for it is "partial 16S ribosomal RNA". It matches the Rfam family "Bacterial small subunit ribosomal RNA", at positions 109 to 334 of the family's 1533-position model. The record is from RNAcentral.
CGGAACACGUACAGAACCUUCCUUUAAGCGGGGGAUAGCCCGGAGAAAUCCGGAUUAAUAUCCCAUAGUAUAUCGAAAAGGCAUCUUUUUGAUAUUAAAGAUUUAUCACUUAGAGAUGGCUGUGCGGCUGAUUAGGUAGUUGGUUGAGGUAAUGGCUCACCAAGCCUACGAUCAGUAACUGGUGUGAGAGCACGACCAGUCACACGGGCACUGAGACACGGGCCCG